AGUGAACGCUGGCGGUAGGCCUAACACAUGCAAGUCGAACGGCAGCACAGUAAGAGCUUGCUCUUACGGGUGGCGAGUGGCGGACGGGUGAGGGAUACAUCGGAAUCUACUUUUUCGUGGGGGAUAACGUAGGGAAACUUACGCUAAUACCGCAUACGACCUACAGGUGAAAGCAGGGGAUCUUCGGACCUUGCGCGAUUGAAUGAGCCGAUGUCGGAUUAGCUAGUUGGCGGGGUAAAGGCCCACCAAGGCGACGAUCCGUAGCUGGUCUGAGAGGAUGAUCAGCCACACUGGAACUGAGACACGGUCCAGACUCCUACGGGAGGCAGCAGUGGGGAAUAUUGGACAAUGGGCGCAAGCCUGAUCCAGCCAUACCGCGUGGGUGAAGAAGGCCUUCGGGUUGUAAAGCCCUUUUGUUGGGAAAGAAAAGCAGCAGGUUAAUACCCCGCUGUUCUGACGGUACCCAAAGAAUAAGCACCGGCUAACUUCGUG
This 492-nucleotide ribosomal RNA is filed under the name uncultured bacterium. RNAcentral's name for it is "partial 16S ribosomal RNA". It matches the Rfam family "Bacterial small subunit ribosomal RNA", at positions 29 to 507 of the family's 1533-position model. The record is from RNAcentral.